CCCGAGAACUCGGGACGAAAUGUGGAGGGCGUCGAACGCGCUCCGAAUCACAAG
Halogeometricum borinquense DSM 11551 is the source of this 54-nucleotide regulatory RNA element. It matches the Rfam family "eL15-Euryarchaeota ribosomal protein leader". NCBI's taxonomy places the organism in Archaea, Methanobacteriati, Methanobacteriota, Halobacteria, Halobacteriales, Haloferacaceae. The record is from Rfam.